Molecule: microRNA precursor, 103 nt
Filed under: Marmota monax (woodchuck)
Lineage: Eukaryota; Metazoa; Chordata; Mammalia; Rodentia; Sciuridae
Source: RNAcentral
AGUGGGAUAGUUGGGUCAAAUUGUGGUUCCAUUCCAAAUUUUCUGAGUAAUCUCUAUACUGUUUUCCAGAGAGGUUGUACCAAUUUGCACUCCAACCAACAAU